GAUGAACGCUAGCUACAGGCUUAACACAUGCAAGUCGCAGGGUAACAUGAGGAAAGCUUGCUUUCCUUGAUGACGACUGGCGCACGGGUGAGUAACGCGUAUCCAACCUCCCAUAACUACGGGAUAACCCGUUGAAAGACGGCCUAAUACCGUAUGAUAUCGUUUGCUGACAUCAAAUAACGAUUAAAGGUUUAGCGGUUAUGGAUGGGGAUGCGUCUGAUUAGCUUGUUGGCGGGGUAACGGCCCACCAAGGCGACGAUCAGUAGGGGUUCUGAGAGGAAGGUCCCCCACAUUGGAACUGAGACACGGUCCAAACUCCUACGGGAGGCAGCAGUGAGGAAUAUUGGUCAAUGGGCGAGAGCCUGAACCAGCCAAGUAGCGUGCAGGAUGACGGCCCUAUGGGUUGUAAACUGCUUUUAUGUGGGGAUAAAGUGCGUGACGUGUCAUGCAUUGCAGGUACCACAUGAAUAAGGACCGGCUAAUUCCGUG
This 489-nucleotide ribosomal RNA is filed under the name uncultured bacterium. RNAcentral describes it as "partial 16S ribosomal RNA". It matches the Rfam family "Bacterial small subunit ribosomal RNA", at positions 28 to 507 of the family's 1533-position model. The record is from RNAcentral.